AGCUGUGACGAGCAUCGAUUUCUUCUGACACCUCUUGUAUGAGAAGUGUGCCACUCUCUCGAGAGAGGCACCCUUCGUUGAGCAGAGUAUAGCAACUGUCUGAGCU
RNAcentral lists this small nucleolar RNA (106 nucleotides) under Triticum aestivum (bread wheat). Its description in RNAcentral is "snoRNA snoR1". It matches the Rfam family "Small nucleolar RNA snoR1". Rfam says of the family: snoR1 is a member of the C/D class of snoRNA which contain the C (UGAUGA) and D (CUGA) box motifs. Lineage: Eukaryota; Viridiplantae; Streptophyta; Magnoliopsida; Poales; Poaceae. RNAcentral also lists the same sequence under 1 other name. The record is from Rfam by way of RNAcentral.